CUACCGGAUGAUUGGCACCGAGUGCUGGGUUAGCCUCCCGACUCCUGCUAGGCUCCCUCGGUGCUGAGUGAACGAGCGCCACGUGGCUCUUGGCCACUUCUGGCUAGCCUGGUUGUCCCCAAGCUGCAAGAAUCCCAUGGAGUGACGACAUUCUAUUCCUCAAGAUCCGACCUUCUCACAUUCUGCCUCUCUUCCAUCAGCUUUUACAGAGUGAAGCCACCACACAAACAAAAGACUGACUGCAAAACAUUGGCGUCAGGUUUUCACACAAGCGUGAUGUCAGCAGGGCAGUGGCAGGAGGCUCCUUGAGGCUUGGAACUAGUAUUUGAAAGAGACUUAGGUCACUGGAAAGCAAGCACCCUGCAGAUCUGGACUGGCACUUUGGAGGGAGACCGACUUUUCAUCCAGGGGAGCCCAACAGAGUCCCUCAGCACCUCCCUGCUGUUUUACUGCGUGGCCAGCGAAAAAGGUGGCGUAUGAGAACAUUGAGGAAUGGGAAGAAUCAGGGACAAAGUGAGCCAGGGCCUCUUCCAAGAGAGCCACCAGGCUGGACAACUACGGGGAGAAACACUACCACCGCACAACCAGCAGAUGAACUCUUCUCUGAGAUCUAAUUCUAGAAGCUCAAGCCGCUUAGUUCACAGAACUGUGCUUGCGAGGGGUGCCAAGUUUCAAUGCAAAGUUAUGCAAGGUCCUGUGUUUGGAAAUAUAGACAAAAGAUCCCAAGAUUCAUUUAGCCAAGGCUGGCCCCCAGCCUGCAGUUAAAUGUUCCACUUGAUGACCCACCAACCAGCAUACUCCGAAGAUCCAACUUAGGAAUGUACGAUAUUCAUCUCCAUCUGAAGGGACCUACUCUCUGGCAAUGGCUCCUCCCAGAGCCUUAGGGAGGAAGAUCUGGCUCCUGGGUUCCAGUGCAGCUGGAUGUCCCACCUGCCUCCAGGCAAGGUCUUACCUGGAUCCAUGCAGCCAGAGUGAGUCACCCUAUUGGUAUUUGUGGCUCUCGUGGUCCUACAUCCGAGUUGUGCACAACAAAGACAGAGCUCGGCCUCAUGAAGGGAACCACUCACUCAGUGAACACUCUUGCUUAGCACACACAACAGAAGCCUUCUUCAGCCUGCAGCUAUCUAGUUUUUUUUUUUUUUUUUUACAAUAAAUCUUAUUUCAUU
Mus musculus (house mouse) is the source of this 1166-nucleotide long non-coding RNA. RefSeq annotates it as predicted gene 27174. The record is from RefSeq and is marked validated. The transcript is spliced from 7 exons. NCBI's taxonomy places the organism in Eukaryota, Metazoa, Chordata, Mammalia, Rodentia, Muridae.